Molecule: transfer RNA, 82 nt
Organism: Fistulifera solaris
Lineage: Eukaryota; Bacillariophyta; Bacillariophyceae; Naviculales; Stauroneidaceae
Rfam family: tRNA
About the family: Transfer RNA (tRNA) molecules are approximately 80 nucleotides in length.
Source: Rfam
GUUGGCGUGGCCGAGUGGUUAAGGCGAUUGAUUAGAAAUCACUUGGGUCUAUCCCGCGCAGGUUCGAGUCCUGUCGCCAACG